RNAcentral lists this transfer RNA (69 nucleotides) under Rhinonicteris aurantia (Orange leaf-nosed bat). RNAcentral describes it as "tRNA-His". It matches the Rfam family "tRNA". From Rfam's summary of the family: Transfer RNA (tRNA) molecules are approximately 80 nucleotides in length. Their secondary structure includes four short double-helical elements and three loops (D, anti-codon, and T loops). The record is from RNAcentral. Lineage: Eukaryota; Metazoa; Chordata; Mammalia; Chiroptera; Rhinonycteridae.
UGUAGACAUAGUUUAACCAAAACACUGGAUUGUGAAUCCAGCAAUAGAACAUAAAACUUCUUGUCCACC